RNAcentral lists this unclassified non-coding RNA (346 nucleotides) under soil metagenome. Its description in RNAcentral is "partial contains 5.8S ribosomal RNA, internal transcribed spacer 2, and large subunit ribosomal RNA". The stretch from base 1 to 120 matches the Rfam family "5.8S ribosomal RNA", at positions 35 to 154 of the family's 154-position model. The record is from RNAcentral.
GAUGAAGAACGUAGCGAAAUGCGAUACGUAAUGUGAAUUGCAGAAUUCAGUGAAUCAUCGAGUCUUUGAACGCACAUUGCGCCCCCUGGUAUUCCGGGGGGCAUGCCUGUCCGAGCGUCAUUGCUGCCCUCAAGCCCGGCUUGUGUGUUGGGCCCCGUCCCCCGAUCUCCGGGGGACGGGCCCGAAAGGCAGCGGCGGCACCGCGUCCGGUCCUCGAGCGUAUGGGGCUUUGUCACCCGCUCUGUAGGCCCGGCCGGCGCUUGCCGAUCAACCCAAAUUUUUAUCCAGGUUGACCUCGGAUCAGGUAGGGAUACCCGCUGAACUUAAGCAUAUCAAUAAGCGGAGG